UAGGGAAUAUUGCAAAAUGGGCGAAAGCCCGAUGCAGCAACGCCGCGUGGGCGAUGAAGGCCUUCGGGUCGUAAAGCCCUUUUUGAGGGGAUGAGGAAGGACAGUACCCUCAGAAUAAGCCUCGGCUAACUACGUGCCAGCAGCCGCGGUAAAACGUAGGAGGCGAGCGUUAUCCGGAUUUACUGGGCGUAAAGCGCGUGCAGGCGGAUUGGAGAGUUGGAUGUGAAAGCUCCCGGCUUAACUGGGAGAGGUCGUUCAAUACUUCCAGUCUGGGGUGCAGGAGAGGGAAGUGGAAUUCCGGGUGUAGUGGUGAAAUGCGUAGAUAUCCGGAGGAACACCAGUGGCGAAAGCGGCUUCCUGGACUGUAACUGACGCUCAGACGCGAAAGCUAGGG
This 394-nucleotide ribosomal RNA is filed under the name uncultured bacterium. RNAcentral's name for it is "bacterial SSU rRNA". It matches the Rfam family "Bacterial small subunit ribosomal RNA", at positions 355 to 765 of the family's 1533-position model. The record is from RNAcentral.